GUGCUCGCUUCGGCAGCACAUAUACUAAAAUUGGAACGAUACAGAAAAGAUUAGCAUGGCCCCUGCGCACGCAAAAAAAAAAGGAUGACACGCAAAUUCGUGAAACGUUCCACAUUUAG
Molecule: small nuclear RNA, 119 nt
Filed under: Myotis brandtii (Brandt's bat)
Lineage: Eukaryota; Metazoa; Chordata; Mammalia; Chiroptera; Vespertilionidae
Source: RNAcentral